UAGUGCAGCAGAGACGUGGAAAUGGAGGAGCAUGUGAGAGUUGUCAGUCCAAUGAAUGAAAAAUUUACAUUUCAAAAACGCCCCGACGGCACCAUUAAUAAAAGUAGCAUUGGAAGAAGGAGUUUGCUUAAGUUUAGCCAAACGCAUCAACGCAAAGCACCCAGUCGCGAGUGCAGCAACAGCUAACGUUAGCAGCGAAGACGUUAGCAAUUAAGCGAACCAUAGGAAAGCUUUUCGCCAAACUAAACUCCAGGAGAACACCCCCUGACUCAGAAGAAGAUGGGAUGGAGUCUGAAGAGCUGCAGAGCUACAGAGCAGAGCCCAGCAUCAGUUCUGGUGACUGUCCCCUGCAGGGGUGAUAAUGCUCACUCUGGAUCCUGUGAACAGCUGACAGCUCUGAUAUGCUCACUGUGGAUCCUAUGAACAGCUGACAGCUCUGAUAUGCUCACUCUGGAUCCUAUGAACAGCUGACAGCUCUGAUAUGCUCACUGUGGAUCCUAUGAACAGCUGACAGCUCUAGAACUACUGGCCUCCCCAGCAGUCUCUGUACAAUGUGAGAGACUGUUGAGCCUCGCAGGCCACAUAGUGGCUAUGAUCAAGCUGGUCUGUCUCAGCGACUGGCUGAAGAAGAAGAAAUAAGAGGUUCUCUUCACCUACCAGAGGAUCCUACUGACAGGAAGGGACGUGAUAAAGCCAUGCACAGAAGCUACUUACUCACAGACUGCAACUGGCAAGCUAAUGUUACAGAACUUGGCAACUGCCGAUGUUAGCUAACAUUAGCUCCAGCAGCUCAACCAGUGA
This is a long non-coding RNA of Amphiprion ocellaris (clown anemonefish), 801 nucleotides long. RefSeq lists it as uncharacterized. Lineage: Eukaryota; Metazoa; Chordata; Actinopteri; Pomacentridae. The transcript is spliced from 3 exons. The record is from RefSeq and is a predicted model, not a curated record.